CCUACGGGCGGCAGCAGUGAGGAAUAUUGGUCAAUGGGCUUACGCCUGAACCAGCCAAGUCGCGUGAGGGAAGACUGCCCUAUGGGUUGUAAACCUCUUUUGUCAGGGAGCAAUUGGCGCUACGUGUAGAGAUAUCGAGAGUACCUGAAGAAAAAGCAUCGGCUAACUCCGUGCCAGCAGCCGCGGGAAUACUGAGGAUGCGAGCGUUAUCCGUAUUUAUUGGGUUUAAAGGUUGCGUAGGCGGAAUGCCAAGUCAGGGGUAAAAUGGCGGGGCUCAACCUCGCUCCGCCGUUGAAACUGGCGUUCUUGAGUGGGCGAGAGGGAUGCGGAAUGCGUGGUGUAGCGGUGAAAUGCAUAGAUAUCACGCAGAACUCCGAUUGCGAAGGCAGCAUACCGGCGCCCAACUGACGCUGAAGCACGAAAGCGUGGGUAUCGAACAGGAUUAGAUACCCGAGUAGUC
RNAcentral lists this ribosomal RNA (460 nucleotides) under uncultured bacterium. RNAcentral's name for it is "partial 16S ribosomal RNA". It matches the Rfam family "Bacterial small subunit ribosomal RNA", at positions 338 to 795 of the family's 1533-position model. The record is from RNAcentral.